UACGUAGGUGGCAAGCGUUAUCCGGAAUUACUGGGCGUAAAGCGCACGCAGGCGGCUUUUUAAGUUUGACGUGAAAACUCCUAGCUUAACUGGGAGAGGACGUUGAAGACUGGGAGGCUUGAGGUAAUGAGAGGGGUGCGGAAUUCCCGGUGUAGUGGUGGAAUGCGUAGAGAUCGGGAGGAACACCAGUGGCGAAAGCGGCACCCUGGCAUUGACCUGACGCUCAGGUGCGAAAGCGUGGGGAGCGAACGGG
Molecule: ribosomal RNA, 253 nt
Filed under: uncultured bacterium
Lineage: Bacteria
Description: partial 16S ribosomal RNA
Rfam family: Bacterial small subunit ribosomal RNA
Source: RNAcentral